Molecule: ribosomal RNA, 404 nt
Filed under: uncultured prokaryote
Also listed under: 1 other name
Description: bacterial SSU rRNA
Rfam family: Bacterial small subunit ribosomal RNA
Source: RNAcentral
UGGGGGAUAUUGCACAAUGGGCGAAAGCCUGAUGCAGCGACGCCGCGUGAGGGAAGACGGUCUUCGGAUUGUAAACCUCUGUCUUCGGGGAAGAAUGAUGACGGUACCCGAGGAGGAAGCCACGGCUAACUACGUGCCAGCAGCCGCGGUAAUACGUAGGUGGCGAGCGUUGUCCGGAAUUACUGGGUGUAAAGGGAGCGUAGGCGGGAGCGCAAGUUGAAUGUCAAAUCCAUCGGCUCAACCGGUGGCCGCGUUCAAAACUGCGUUUCUUGAGUGGGGUAGAGGCAGGCGGAAUUCCUAGUGUAGCGGUGAAAUGCGUAGAUAUUAGGAGGAACACCAGUGGCGAAAGCGGCCUGCUGGGCCUUUACUGACGCUGAGGCUCGAAAGCGUGGGGAGCAAACAGG